GAUGAAGAACGCAUCGAAAUGCGAUAAGUAAUGUGAAUUGCAGAAUUCAGUGAAUCAUCGAAUCUUUGAACGCACAUUGCGCCCCUUGGUAUUCCGAGGGGCAUGCCUGUUCGAGCGUCAUUUCAACCCUCAAGCACAGCUUGGUCUUGGGCUUCGCCGCUAACCCGGCGGGUCUUAAAAUCAGUGGCGGUGCCGUCGGGCCCUGAGCGCAGUAAUCUCUCUCGCUAUAGGGUCCCGGCGGAUGCUGGCCAGUAACCCCCAAUUUUCUAUGGUUGACCUCGGAUCAGGUAGGGAUACCCGCUGAACUUAAGCAUAUCAAUAAGCGGAGGA
Molecule: unclassified non-coding RNA, 330 nt
Filed under: soil metagenome
Description: partial contains 5.8S ribosomal RNA, internal transcribed spacer 2, and large subunit ribosomal RNA
Rfam family: 5.8S ribosomal RNA (bases 1-120)
Source: RNAcentral